GAUGAACGCCGGCGGUGUGCCUAAUACAUGCAAGUCGAACGCGUUGGCCCAAUUGAUUGACGGUGCUUGCACCUGAUUGAUUUUGGUCGCCAACGAGUGGCGGACGGGUGAGUAACACGUAGGUAACCUGCCCAGAAGCGGGGGACAACAUUUGGAAACAGAUGCUAAUACCGGAUAACAACGUUGUUCGCAUGAACAACGCUUAAAAGAUGGCUUCUCGCUAUCACUUCUGGAUGGACCUGCGGUGCAUUAGCUUGUUGGUGGGGUAAUGGCCUACCAAGGCGAUGAUGCAUAGCCGAGUUGAGAGACUGAUCGGCCACAAUGGGACUGAGACACGGCCCAUACUCCUACGGGAGGCAGCAGUAGGGAAUCUUCCACAAUGGGCGCAAGCCUGAUGGAGCAACACCGCGUGAGUGAAGAAGGGUUUCGGCUCGUAAAGCUCUGUUGUUAAAGAAGAACACGUAUGAGAGUAACUGUUCAUACGUUGACGGUAUUUAACCAGAAAGUCACGGCUAACUACGUGCCAGCAGCCGCGGUAAUACGUAGGUGGCAAGCGUUAUCCGGAUUUAUUGGGCGUAAAGAGAGUGCAGGCGGUUUUCUAAGUCUGAUGUGAAAGCCUUCGGCUUAACCGGAGAAGUGCAUCGGAAACUGGAUAACUUGAGUGCAGAAGAGGGUAGUGGAACUCCAUGUGUAGCGGUGGAAUGCGUAGAUAUAUGGAAGAACACCAGUGGCGAAGGCGGCUACCUGGUCUGCAACUGACGCUGAGACUCGAAAGCAUGGGUAGCGAACAGGAUUAGAUACCCUGGUAGUCCAUGCCGUAAACGAUGAGUGCUAGGUGUUGGAGGGUUUCCGCCCUUCAGUGCCGGAGCUAACGCAUUAAGCACUCCGCCUGGGGAGUACGACCGCAAGGUUGAAACUCAAAGGAAUUGACGGGGGCCCGCACAAGCGGUGGAGCAUGUGGUUUAAUUCGAAGCUACGCGAAGAACCUUACCAGGUCUUGACAUCUUGCGCCAACCCUAGAGAUAGGGCGUUUCCUUCGGGAACGCAAUGACAGGUGGUGCAUGGUCGUCGUCAGCUCGUGUCGUGAGAUGUUGGGUUAAGUCCCGCAACGAGCGCAACCCUUGUUACUAGUUGCCAGCAUUAAGUUGGGCACUCUAGUGAGACUGCCGGUGACAAACCGGAGGAAGGUGGGGACGACGUCAGAUCAUCAUGCCCCUUAUGACCUGGGCUACACACGUGCUACAAUGGACGGUACAACGAGUCGCGAACUCGCGAGGGCAAGCAAAUCUCUUAAAACCGUUCUCAGUUCGGACUGCAGGCUGCAACUCGCCUGCACGAAGUCGGAAUCGCUAGUAAUCGCGGAUCAGCAUGCCGCGGUGAAUACGUUCCCGGGCCUUGUACACACCGCCCGUCACACCAUGAGAGUUUGUAACACCCAAAGUCGGUGGGGUAACCUUUUAGGAGCCAGCCGCCUAAGGUGGGACAGAUGAUUAGGGUG
RNAcentral lists this ribosomal RNA (1498 nucleotides) under Limosilactobacillus fermentum. RNAcentral describes it as "bacterial SSU rRNA". It matches the Rfam family "Bacterial small subunit ribosomal RNA". The record is from RNAcentral. Lineage: Bacteria; Bacillati; Bacillota; Bacilli; Lactobacillales; Lactobacillaceae.